This 370-nucleotide ribosomal RNA is filed under the name uncultured bacterium. Its description in RNAcentral is "bacterial SSU rRNA". It matches the Rfam family "Bacterial small subunit ribosomal RNA", at positions 127 to 488 of the family's 1533-position model. The record is from RNAcentral.
UGCCCAGUCGUGGGGGAUAACGCAGCGAAAGCUGUGCUAAUACCGCAUACGAUCUAUGGAUGAAAGCGGGGGACUCAGCAAUGAGCCUCGCGCGAUUGGAGCGGCCGAUAUCAGAUUAGCUAGUUGGUGGGGUAAAAGCUCACCAAGGCGACGAUCUGUAGCUGGUCUGAGAGGACGACCAGCCACACUGGAACUGAGACACGGUCCAGACUCCUACGGGAGGCAGCAGUGGGGAAUUUUGGACAAUGGGCGCAAGCCUGAUCCAGCAAUGCCGCGUGCAGGAUGAAGGCCUUCGGGUUGUAAACUGCUUUUGUACGGAACGAAACGGUCUUCUCUAAUAAAGGAGGCUAAUGACGGUACCGUAAGAAUA